Hyla sarda is the source of this 181-nucleotide long non-coding RNA. RefSeq lists it as uncharacterized. The record is from RefSeq and is a predicted model, not a curated record. NCBI's taxonomy places the organism in Eukaryota, Metazoa, Chordata, Amphibia, Anura, Hylidae. The transcript has 3 exons.
UGUAUUCUUGCUACAUCAAUACACAGGAAGAAUCCAAGCAGAUGCCCGGAACAGUAAAUGAAGCCCAGACAAUAGUGACUGUGCUGGAAACUGAGCUACUUUGGACAGCACAAUGAAUAUGCGGUAUUUCAGCCAAUUUGUGUUCCUCCUGGCUAAUUCUGAAUAGAAUGUGCACAGCAAG